RNAcentral lists this ribosomal RNA (318 nucleotides) under uncultured bacterium. Its description in RNAcentral is "bacterial SSU rRNA". It matches the Rfam family "Bacterial small subunit ribosomal RNA", at positions 8 to 290 of the family's 1533-position model. The record is from RNAcentral.
AGAGUUUGAUCCUGGCUCAGGAUAAACGCUGGCGGCGCACAUAAGACAUGCAAGUCGAACGGAAGUCGUUAUAAAAUGGAUUGAAGAUUUAUCAGAUUGAAAUUUUAUAACAAUGGCUUUAGUGGCGGACUGGUGAGUAACGCGUAAGUAAUCUGCCUGUUAGAGGGGAAUAACAAUGAGAAAUCAUUGCUAAUACCGCAUAUGCCAUAGAGGAGGCAUCUUCAUAGUGGGAAAGGAGCAAUCCGCUAACAGAUGAGCUUGCGUCUGAUUAGUUAGUUGGUGGGGUAACGGCCUACCAAGACGACGAUCAGUAGCCGG